Molecule: ribosomal RNA, 253 nt
Filed under: uncultured bacterium
Lineage: Bacteria
Description: partial 16S ribosomal RNA
Rfam family: Bacterial small subunit ribosomal RNA
Source: RNAcentral
UACAGAGGGGGCAAGCGUUGUUCGGAAUUACUGGGCGUAAAGGGCGCGUAGGCGGCCUGUUAAGUCGAACGUGAAAUCCCCGGGCUCAACCCGGGAACUGCGUCCGAUACUGGCAGGCUUGAAUUCGGGAGAGGGAUGUGGAAUUCCAGGUGUAGCGGUGAAAUGCGUAGAUAUCUGGAGGAACACCGGUGGCGAAGGCGGCAUCUUGGACCGAUAUUGACGCUGAUGCGCGAAAGCCAGGGGAGCAAACGGG